ACAUGCAAGUCGAGGGGCAGCAUGGUCUUAGCUUGCUAAGGCUGAUGGCGACCGGCGCACGGGUGAGUAACACGUAUGCAAUCCACCUGUAACAGGGGGAUAACCCGGCGAAAGUCGGACUAAUACCGCAUGAAGCAGUGUGAAAAACUCCGGUGGUACAAGAUGGACCCGCGUCUGAUUAGCUGGUUGGUGAGGUAACGGCCCACCAAACCGACGAUGGAUAGGGGUUCUGAGAGGAAGGUCCCCACAUUGGAACUGAGACACGGUCCAAACUCC
This 276-nucleotide ribosomal RNA is filed under the name uncultured bacterium. Its description in RNAcentral is "partial 16S ribosomal RNA". It matches the Rfam family "Bacterial small subunit ribosomal RNA", at positions 53 to 339 of the family's 1533-position model. The record is from RNAcentral.